GACGAACGCCCGCGGCGUGCUUAACACAUGCAAGUCGAACGGAAAGGCCCUGCUUUUGUGGGGUGCUCGAGUGGCGAACGGGUGAGUAACACGUGAGUAACCUGCCCUUGACUUUGGGAUAACUUCAGGAAACUGGGGCUAAUACCGGAUAGGAGCUCCUGCUGCAUGGUGGGGGUUGGAAAGUUUCGGCGGUUGGGGAUGGACUCGCGGCUUAUCAGCUUGUUGGUGGGGUAGUGGCUUACCAAGGCUUUGACGGGUAGCCGGCCUGAGAGGGUGACCGGCCACAUUGGGACGGAGAUACGGCCCAGACUCCUACGGGAGGCAGCAGUGGGGAAUAUUGCACAAUGGGCGGAAGCCUGAUGCAGCAACGCCGCGUGCGGGAUGACGGCCUUCGGGUUGUAAACCGCUUUCGCCUGUGACGAAGCGUGAGUGACGGUAAUGGGUAAAGAAGCACCGGCUAACUACGUG
RNAcentral lists this ribosomal RNA (468 nucleotides) under uncultured bacterium. Its description in RNAcentral is "partial 16S ribosomal RNA". It matches the Rfam family "Bacterial small subunit ribosomal RNA", at positions 28 to 507 of the family's 1533-position model. The record is from RNAcentral.